Non-coding RNA from Podarcis lilfordi (Lilford's wall lizard), 70 nucleotides. The record is from the annotation of a GenBank genome assembly. Lineage: Eukaryota; Metazoa; Chordata; Lepidosauria; Squamata; Lacertidae.
GGACAUAGCUCAGUGGUGGAGCAUCUGCUUUGCACGCAGAAGGUCCCAAGUUCAAUCCCCAGCAUCUCCA